RNAcentral lists this long non-coding RNA (777 nucleotides) under Sorghum bicolor (sorghum). RNAcentral's name for it is "long non-coding RNA (SBIC_LNC004369)". Lineage: Eukaryota; Viridiplantae; Streptophyta; Magnoliopsida; Poales; Poaceae. The record is from RNAcentral.
UGCUAGUUUGGAAUAGAUAGCUGAAUCAUGGGAUCGGAAUGUUUGCAUAGUGGCUAUGAAAACUUCCUCUUCUAGUUUGGGGGAUGAUUCCUUCUCUACCUCUAGGAUUUCAUCAUGAAGGCUAGUGCAAGGACUGUGUCCACUAAUAAGGACAAACCUUACCUCACUAAUGGAUAAAGAAAGGAAAACUCCUCCAAAGGCGGUAUUAUCAAGACCCGUAAAAGAUGUUAAAGAAGAACAAGGUCUUGUAAGGCUAGGUCUAAACCUAAAUUUAUAGGGAGAUUAAAAUAUCCCCUAAGUGUAGCCAAAAGUUCAUUACCUACUUGAUCAAAAGAUAGGACUCUAGCUGUAGAAAAGGGUUGGCUUUGACCUAUUGCAACCAAACAUGGGCGUAGCUCAUAGCUAGAUGUGAGAAUCAUAAGCUCUAGUGGAUCUAAGCUUGUGCUGAUGGGUACAAGAAAUUGAUAGAUAGACGUGGAAUUUGGGUUAUCCAUAAGGAUAGAAAAGAAAAGGAAAAAGAAAAGAUGAGAUAAGAGAAAAAGAUAAAAGUACAAUACAAGGUUAACCAUGACUUAAAGUUAUCUCAGUAGACCAUUUUUCUCCCCAGCAACGGCGCCAGAAAUGCUUGUUGAUACUAGAUACGCACACAGAGAAAUAAUCCGCAAGCGCACAGAUAUCGGUGAGCACUUUAUCUAGGAGAUAUUCCAGAGUAUUGUUAUUUAUUUAUCCACAAGGAGAAAGCGUGCAUCUGGCUAACCCAAAUCUAUACUUAACCCC